Molecule: ribosomal RNA, 309 nt
Filed under: Triticum aestivum (bread wheat)
Lineage: Eukaryota; Viridiplantae; Streptophyta; Magnoliopsida; Poales; Poaceae
Description: partial small subunit ribosomal RNA
Source: RNAcentral
AUGGGUAGGCUAUGGAAGGUCUCUCACAAGGACGUUCCUGUAGUUUCAUCUUUUAGCAGUGCAUAUUCUUUGGAUGAACCCUUUGUGCCUAAUGACUUCGCGGAAGAUGAUUCAUAUCCUAUGUCACCGGUAGUUAUUUAUGUAUUCCCUUUCCUUUUCAUUAUGUUUUUAGUUUUCACUUUCAGUUUAUUUAAUUUUCUUUGGUUGUCUUUUAUUGAGGAACUAUCGGAAGAUGACGGCAACUUUGAAAAAGCUCUAUUCGAGUUCUAUAUGAAUCAUGUGCGUGCUAUUUUUUUUUACUUGCAGUAG